UCCCAGGGCACAGAGCCACAGGCAUCUGGGGAUGACAACUGACCACUGAUGGGUUUAGGAUUGUAACCCACUGGUUCCUGUGGUUGGGAAGAGGAGAAGAUGGGGGAGCAGAUACUCUAGCUGCAAAUCUAUCCACACUUCAGCAAUUUUUUGAUGCGAUGCCUUGAUAUUAUGCACAAACCAGCCACCUGGGCCUCUUUUGUGGAUGUUGAUCUCAAAAUGGCCAUCAGGCCUACAAUGACUCUUCUAAGGCAAUAGGAGUGAACAGCAAGAAGACAAGAUAGUACCUUGUACUCAGACAUCACUUCUCAUUUGCCAUUUGGACAACGGUGAUGGAACUGCUGUUUUUUUGCCCACGGAGAAGUGGAGUGAAGGGUCUGGAGCUGGUCUUGCAGUUACCCUGGACAAAAGAAGUUUAAGACUUAGGCUCAUUCCUGAAGAACACAUAGAGAAGGCUGACAAAAUAUAUAUAUUCACAGCUUUGGCCUAAAGGUUGCUGGAUGACCAAUAAGUAAUACAAAGAGAAAUGGCCUUUUCUAGAGUUGUAGUUCUUUUCCAGCAAAACCGUCCUGUCAUGAUAAAAGCUUACAAUUUUGGAGAUAUGCUUUCCCAGCUACCUUUGCAGAUACACCCAGAUUCCAAGUUCCCAACAACGUGAAGGCCAGAAGAAAGAAAACAGUUUUUCUUUCACCACAGUCCAAGACCUGCCUCCCAAAUGGUUACAAGUGGGAAAUUCCACUGUCUGUUUCUCCCAGGGAAAAUCCUAUCUCCAACUCACAUGAGAAUUCAGUAACUGAUCAUUAGUACAUUUUUCAAAAGCAUGUUCUAGGCUUUGAGGUUAUACUACUGAUCACAUUUGGGUCUGUGAUCUCAUGGAGCUCACAUUCCAGUUGGAGAGAGAGUAAACAGAUGUGGAGUCAGGCAAAGUUUCAAGCAAUAUCUCAUGAAAUGUUGUUUUAUGGCUCUAAAGAAAGAUGUUUUAAUUUGUUCCUUCAAAUCUAUCAGCUGUUCCAGAGAAUCCAAACUGUGACUCCUCACAGUACUAUGCUACAACAAGAAUUCAGAUGGACAUAAUUUGCAAGUAGCUCCCAAACUCACAGACCUCUUGUACAGCUAAUUUUUCAGGGCACAACUCUCAGGAGAACACCUAGUGACGUCAAUUCUUCAGAGGAGAAUUUCCUCCACCAGAAGUAAUUUUGAGCACCAGUGACCUGCAAAUCACUCUGCUAUGAACCCUGGUAGAUAAAAAGAUGAAUGCAAGAAGAGCAAGACUCUUUAGGGAACAUAUCAUCUGGUGGAUGUGGCUUUAGUACACGAGAGUGGGUAGGGAUAGAGAAGGUGGGAAUUGGGCGGUGUGGGAUGAGUACAAAAUUAGCUAUGCUGAAGCUCAUGCUUCCAAAUGGAGAAAAGGCAUCCUCUGUGAGCACAUAGAGUUCAGGUUUUUGGGAGAUGGCUCAACUGGUGUAAAAGGAACCCAGCAUUUCUCCUGCUAGAUUAUAACAAUAAUCCCCCAUUUGCAUAACACAUUUUCACAAUAUCGCACUUAAUCCUUGAAAUAGCUCUGGGUGAUAGAUAUUUUUAUUCUAAUUUUAUAGACAAAGAAAUGGAGUCUCAGAGAGGUUAAGGUCUUCAUGGCCCUAUACCUAGUAGGCUCAUGGUUGAACAGCUGGUCUGUCUCUUAAGUUCUCAGUCCUGUGUCCUUUUCAUCAGCAUAAUCACCUUUAAAGCAUGUGGUUUUAUCUUCCCCAGAGUUCCCAAUGUAGUGCUUACCAAGUGAAGUUACCCAAUUAGUACAAAUCAUUUCAUUUAUGCCCAGGGGUCAUGUUUGAUGAUACUACAUAUAGUAUAAGCACCUUACUUUUUAUUCCUCAAGCACCUUUAUAUAUCUAGUAAGUAGUAAUAAUAUUUGUUUUCAUUACUGAACAUAGCCAGGGGCACUACUAUGCACUUUUCAUAUGUUAUUUGCCUGUCUCCUUCAUCAACCUAAAAUUUCUUGAAGGGAGAUAGUAUAUGCUAUUCAUCUUUGAAUCUUAGAAAUUUGAUUCACUUGAAGUAAAAGUUAUGCUCUACCUUUCAAGUGCUAUAGGCCAUUUCCCAAGUAUCUUAAACAUUUUUCAGGACUAUAGAGAUAUUGCCACACACAAACUAGACUGAUAUCUAGUCUUAGGAAAAAAAUCGAGGUUCAUGAAUAGUUUAAUUUUGUAAUUUCAAAAUAGCCUGAUUGUUGGUCUCUGUUGGAUUAUAAGCUUCAUAAAGAUAAAGCAAUGUUUGCCUCUUAUAUUCCCUUUCCUUCAGCAUUUUUUUUUUACCUGGAACAUAGCAGGUACAUAAUAAUUAUUCACUGAAUGAUUAACACCACUAUUUUUUCUCUUAGGGGAAGAUAUGAUUU
Microcebus murinus (gray mouse lemur) is the source of this 2389-nucleotide non-coding RNA. The record is from RefSeq and is a predicted model, not a curated record. Lineage: Eukaryota; Metazoa; Chordata; Mammalia; Primates; Cheirogaleidae.